GUUUAGGACUGACGAGUCUCAAAUAGGACGAAACGCGCGGCCUAGAU
Molecule: non-coding RNA, 47 nt
Organism: Schistosoma rodhaini
Lineage: Eukaryota; Metazoa; Platyhelminthes; Trematoda; Strigeidida; Schistosomatidae
Source: Rfam